Molecule: ribosomal RNA, 497 nt
Filed under: uncultured bacterium
Lineage: Bacteria
Description: partial 16S ribosomal RNA
Rfam family: Bacterial small subunit ribosomal RNA
Source: RNAcentral
GAUGAACGCUGGCGGCGUGCCUAAUACAUGCAAGUCGAGCGAACAGAUGAGGAGCUUGCUCCUCUGACGUUAGCGGCGGACGGGUGAGUAACACGUGGAUAACCUACCUAUAAGACUGGGAUAACUUCGGGAAACCGGCGCUAAUACCGGAUAAUAUAUUGAACCGCAUGGUUCAAUAGUGAAAGACGGUUUUGCUGUCACUUAUAGCUGGAUCCGCGCCGCAUUAGCUAGUUGGUAAGGUAACGGCUUACCAAGGCAACGAUGCGUAGCCGACCUGAGAGGGUGAUCGGCCACACUGGAACUGAGACACGGUCCAGACUCCUACGGGAGGCAGCAGUAGGGAAUCUUCCGCAAUGGGCGAAAGCCUGACGGAGCAACGCCGCGUGAGUGAUGAAGGUCUUCGGAUCGUAAAACUCUGUUAUUAGGGAAGAACAAAUGUGUAAGUAACUAUGCACGUCUUGACGGUACCUAAUCAGAAAGCCACGGCUAACUACGUG